RNAcentral lists this ribosomal RNA (467 nucleotides) under uncultured microorganism. RNAcentral describes it as "bacterial SSU rRNA". It matches the Rfam family "Bacterial small subunit ribosomal RNA", at positions 9 to 524 of the family's 1533-position model. The record is from RNAcentral.
GAGUUUGAUCGUGGCUCAGAGCGAACGCUGGCGGCAGGCCUAACACAUGCAAGUCGAACGAACUCUUCGGAGUUAGUGGCGGACGGGUGAGUAACACGUGGGAACGUGCCUUUUGGUUCGGAAUAACUCAGGGAAACUUGUGCUAAUACCGAAUGUGCCCUUCGGGGAAGAUUUAUCGCCAUUAGAGCGGCCCGCGUCUGAUUAGCUAGUUGGUGAGGUAAAGGCUCACCAAGGCGACGAUCAGUAGCUGGUCUGAGAGGAUGAUCAGCCACAUUGGGACUGAGACACGGCCCAAACUCCUACGGGAGGCAGCAGUGGGGAAUCUUGCGCAAUGGGCGAAAGCCUGACGCAGCCAUGCCGCGUGAAUGGUGAAGGUCUUAGGAUUGUAAAAUUCUUUCACCGGGGACGAUAAUGACGGUACCCGGAGAAGAAGCCCUGGCUAACUUCGUGCCAGCAGCCGCCGUAAC